RNAcentral lists this ribosomal RNA (445 nucleotides) under uncultured bacterium. RNAcentral's name for it is "partial 16S ribosomal RNA". It matches the Rfam family "Bacterial small subunit ribosomal RNA", at positions 330 to 792 of the family's 1533-position model. The record is from RNAcentral.
UCCAGACUCCUACGGGAGGCAGCAGUGGGGAAUAUUGCACAAUGGGGGAAACCCUGAUGCAGCGACGCCGCGUGGGUGAAGGAGCACCUCGGUGCGUAAAGCCCUAUCGGCAGGGAAGAAACAGACGGUACCUGACUAAGAAGCCCCGGCUAACUACGUGCCAGCAGCCGCGGUAAUACGUAGGGGGCAAGCGUUAUCCGGAUUUACUGGGUGUAAAGGGAGCGUAGACGGCGGUGCAAGCCAGAUGUGAAAGCCCGGGGCCCAACCCCGGGACUGCUCUUGGAACUGCGUGGCUAGAGUGCAGGAGGGGCAGGCGGAAUUCCUGGUGUAGCGGUGAAAUGCGUAGAUAUCAGGAGGAACACCGGUGGCGAAGGCGGCCUGCUGGACUGCAACUGACGUUGAGGCCCGAAAGCGUGGGGAGCAAACAGGAUUAGAUACCCCCGUA